This 901-nucleotide long non-coding RNA is filed under the name Chloebia gouldiae (Gouldian finch). RNAcentral's name for it is "Erythrura gouldiae (Gouldian finch) lncRNA (ENSEGOG00005006394.1)". The record is from RNAcentral. Lineage: Eukaryota; Metazoa; Chordata; Aves; Passeriformes; Passeridae.
CAGACACCUUGUCAGUCCUGGGGGAUUUUUUCACUUUCUUUUCAUUCAUACCUCAGCACAAGUAUAGACCAGCAGAAACUGUAGAUGAAGAAGAAAAUGUAGAAGAGGAAAAUGACAGGGGAGAGGAGGCAUAUGGAAAAGAAUAUCCAGAAGUGACUGGAGAGGAAAGUGGGGAAACUAAUAAAGAAAAAAUUGAAGUGGAAAAAAAUGAAAAGAAGUUAAAUGAAAAUUAUGACGAUGAAUCAGGAGAAACACAGAAUGUUGACCAAGCAGAGGAAAAGGAACUUAUUCAUUUAAAUGGCAAAAACCAUGAAGGAAAUGGUGAGGGGAUGGAGCAUUUGAACUACCAAAAUGAUCUUCAGCCUGAAGAAGAAAUAAAAGAGGAUUCUGGCAGUCAGAACCAGGUUGAUCCCGGUCUUGAAAAAACAUCCACAAGUCCAAGGGUGACAAUCACCAGCCCACAAGAAAGUGAAAAGAAUGACCAGAGCAAUGACUAUGCAGCAGUUGCAUAAAGAAGAAAAAUGUAAUGAGCACAAAAUGAAAAAAAGAUAACACUUAAAAUAGUGUAAGGAAGGUUGAGUACCCACAUAAUGAGUCAUGAGAUGAUGAUGCUCUAUGGACUGAUGAAAAAACAAGCAUUUAUAUCUACUAGAAGAACAUAGAAUUGUGUGAGGGUGAGAUUUUAUGAUAGGAUUUGAGGGGGGAAAUACAAGAGUACUUUAUAGUAGUAUUAGAAGUAAAUUAACUGUUAUGUGUUAUCAGAUAAUUAGCAGCAACAGAACAACUACAAAAAUUACACUGUUCCAGGGAAAGGAAAAGAGACCCACUCAGAUUUAAUGUUAAAAAUUCUUUGUCGAUUUGUUCAUGAAAAUAAACUAUUUUUUACCUUUUAACUAGGACA